RNAcentral lists this unclassified non-coding RNA (382 nucleotides) under uncultured Acidobacteriota bacterium. Its description in RNAcentral is "uncultured Acidobacteria bacterium contains 16S-23S intergenic spacer region". The record is from RNAcentral. Lineage: Bacteria; Pseudomonadati; Acidobacteriota.
UCCGGUUUGGCACCGGCAGUCCCCCGAGAGUCCUCAGCGCCUUGCGGCCUGUUAGCAACACGGGGCGGGGGUUGCGCUCGUUGCGGGACUUAACCCAACAUCUCACGACACGAGCUGACGACAGCCAUGCAGCACCUGUCACCGACCAAUUGAAGAGGUCCAUCUCUGGUCCCCCGAUCGGGAAGUCGAGGGCUGGUAAGGUUCUUCGCGUUGCCUCGAAUUAAACCACAUGCUCCACCGCUUGUGCGGGCCCCCGUCAAUUCCUUUGAGUUUCAGUCUUGCGACCGUACUCCCCAGGCGGAAUGCUUAAAGCGUUAGCGACGGCACCCGGGGACUAUAUAACCCCAAACACCAAGCAUUCAUCGUUUAAGGCUAGGACUAC